Molecule: long non-coding RNA, 666 nt
Organism: Strongylocentrotus purpuratus (purple sea urchin)
Lineage: Eukaryota; Metazoa; Echinodermata; Echinoidea; Camarodonta; Strongylocentrotidae
Exons: 2
Source: RefSeq, a predicted model, not a curated record
AUAACACUCGUUUUAUUGAUUCGGCAUUAAUUUCGUGCAUUCCAUGUAUACGUACUGCAUAGAAUCCUGUACGUAGCUCGUAAAAACUGUAACUUCACUCACAUCACAGCCACUUUAUUGUUAUUUUACAUGCACCGGAACCAUCAUGAAAUGAGGAAAAGAAACAGAUUUCGUGGCCAAAUCCAUUUGAUUUGGCCCAAAACUUCACAUGUUAGGGUUCAGCCUACUCAUGUUUGUUGUCUUGAAUUAUCAGAGACAGGUCUGACGUGUAGCAAAGAUGGAAAAUUUCCGCCCAUCGACGGAUUUCUCAGUGAAUGCAAAUUAUCAAAACUUCGUUUCCAACGCCACUUCUCAAACAACAAUGGGCGAUCAUAAUCGGCUUGUGAACGUCAAUGCAAGAUGUAAACUCACUGGAUCUGGAGCACACGUUCCAGCCUCUUUGAAUGGAAGUAAAAUGGAUAAGAUGACAGACAAUGAGGAAUCUGUGACCCAAAGACUAGAAGCUUCUCUGAGCCCAGAUUCAAAGCAAAAGAUAGAGAGCUUAUUGGUAAGUGAAAUAUACCUUUAGUUUGCUUACACUGUACUUGUCUAACACUUUGUUUACCUACCUGGAUUAGACCACCUCGAGUAUUAACUCACCUCGAGUAUUAACCUCCAUGGCAAAAA